Molecule: unclassified non-coding RNA, 205 nt
Filed under: soil metagenome
Description: partial contains 5.8S ribosomal RNA, internal transcribed spacer 2, and large subunit ribosomal RNA
Source: RNAcentral
AACACUGUUAACCUGCGGUACCUGCGGAAGGAUCAUUACCGAGUUUACAACUCCCAAACCCCUGUGAACAUACCACUUGUUGCCUCGGCGGAUCAGCCCGCUCCCGGUAAAACGGGACGGCCCGCCAGAGGACCCCUAAACUCUGUUUCUAUAUGUAACUUCUGAGUAAAACCAUAAAUAAAUCAAAACUUUCAGCAAUGGAUCU